GCCUGGGUGGCUCAGUCGGUUGAGCGUCUGACUUCUGCUCAGGACAUGAUCUCGCGGUUCACAAGUUCGAGCCCUGCGUCGGGCU
RNAcentral lists this transfer RNA (85 nucleotides) under Felis catus (domestic cat). It matches the Rfam family "tRNA". Rfam says of the family: Transfer RNA (tRNA) molecules are approximately 80 nucleotides in length. Their secondary structure includes four short double-helical elements and three loops (D, anti-codon, and T loops). The record is from Rfam by way of RNAcentral. Lineage: Eukaryota; Metazoa; Chordata; Mammalia; Carnivora; Felidae. RNAcentral also lists the same sequence under 4 other names.